Budorcas taxicolor (takin) is the source of this 908-nucleotide long non-coding RNA. RefSeq lists it as uncharacterized. The transcript has 5 exons. The record is from RefSeq and is a predicted model, not a curated record. NCBI's taxonomy places the organism in Eukaryota, Metazoa, Chordata, Mammalia, Artiodactyla, Bovidae.
GCUGGAGUUGCUGGAACAUGGUGUGGAUGGCUUAUGGAAAGCAGAGCGUUACAAAGUAAUUUCUGAAAUUUCCAAGUUGAUCAUUCCAAUUUAUGAGAAUCGUCGAGAGUUUGAGGUAAAUGUCAAAGAAUUUGACCCCAAAUAUGCUCAUAUCCAAGUCACUUAUGUGAAGCCCUACUUUGAUGAUAAAGAACUCACAGAAAGAAAAACUGAGUUUGAAAGAAACCAUAACAUCAACAGAUUUGUUUUUGAGGCUCCUUAUACAUUGUCAGGCAAAAAGCAAAGUUGUAUGGAGGAACGGUGCAAAGGCCGUACAAUCUUGACUACUUCAAACUCAUUUCCAUAUGUGAAGAAGAGGAUUUCUAUAAACUGUGAACAGCAGAUUCAUUUAAAGCCAAUUGAUGUUGCCACGGAUAAAAGAAAGCUGCAGAGCUGCAAAAGCUUUGCUCUUCUGCUGACGUGGACAUGAUUCAGCUCCAACUUGAAUUGCAGGGCUGUGUUUGAGUGCAGGUAAAUGCAGGUCCAUUAGCAUAUGCCAGGGCUGUCUUAAAUGACAGUCAAACUAGCAAGUAUCCACCCAAAAAAGUAAAUGCAUUGAAAGACAUGUUUAGAUAAUACAAGAAGACCCAAUGCAUUCUCCCUGGAUGAGCAACACAUUACGUGUAUUUUGUGCAAUUAGUGGUACGUCAAGUGACCGAAGUUAUGGUUCCCCAAGAUACACUGCUGAAAUAUGAGGACAUGCAGAUGUCAAGUGACAAUAAGACUGAACUUCUCAGAAAUAUUUGGAGCUGUGCAAAUGUUAGAAAUUUAAAGAUUUGUUAUACACAAGAGUGUUUCUUCCUGACACCAAAACUUUCAUGCUUUCAUACAGGGUGCUUACAUAUUUGUAAAUAUUUAAGCAACUUGAA